ACGAGCGCACCCUCGCCUUUAGUUGCCAGCAUGUUUGGGUGGGCACUCUAAAGGAACUGCCGGUGACAAGCCGGAGGAAGGUGGGGAUGACGUCAAGUCCUCAUGGCCCUUAUGUCCUGGGCUACACACGUGCUACAAUGGCGGUGACAGUGGGACGCCAGGCAGCGAUGCCGAGCUGAUCUCCAAAAGCCGUCUCAGUUCGGAUUGCACUCUGCAACUCGGGUGCAUGAAGGUGGAAUCGCUAGUAAUCGUGGAUCAGCAUGCCACGGUGAAUACGUUCCCGGGCCUUGUACACACCGCCCGU
Molecule: ribosomal RNA, 304 nt
Filed under: uncultured Alphaproteobacteria bacterium
Lineage: Bacteria; Pseudomonadati; Pseudomonadota; Alphaproteobacteria
Description: bacterial SSU rRNA
Rfam family: Bacterial small subunit ribosomal RNA
Source: RNAcentral